GUAGGGAAUAUUGGACAAUGGGGGGAACCCUGAUCCAGCCAUUCCGCGUGGAGGAAGACUGCCCUCUGGGUUGUAAACUCCUUUUAUAUGGGAAGAACCGUCCUCAUUAAUGAGUGACCUGACGGUACCAUAGGAAUAAGCACCGGCUAACUCCGUGCCAGCAGCCGCGGUAAUACGGAGGGUGCAAGCGUUAUCCGGAUUCACUGGGUUUAUAGGGUGCGUAGGCGGAUAAAUAAGUCAGUGGUGAAAUCAACGGGCUCGACCUGUUAACUGUCAUUGAUACUGGGUAUCUUGAAUAUGAGAGAGGUAGGCGGAAUGUUGCAUGUAGCGGUGAAAUGCUUAGAUAUGCUACGGAACACCGAUUGCGAAGGCAGCUUACUAUUUCGUAAUUGACGCUGAGGCACGAAAGCGUGGGUAGCGAACAGGAUUAGAAACCCGGGUAGUCC
RNAcentral lists this ribosomal RNA (446 nucleotides) under uncultured bacterium. Its description in RNAcentral is "partial 16S ribosomal RNA". It matches the Rfam family "Bacterial small subunit ribosomal RNA", at positions 354 to 796 of the family's 1533-position model. The record is from RNAcentral.